AUGCUAUUAACUCGUUAGUCCGUUAGCUUCUAACGACCUAAAGAGUAAAUAGCAUGU
Molecule: microRNA precursor, 57 nt
Filed under: Gadus morhua (Atlantic cod)
Lineage: Eukaryota; Metazoa; Chordata; Actinopteri; Gadiformes; Gadidae
Description: microRNA gmo-mir-11263 precursor
Source: miRBase by way of RNAcentral